This is a long non-coding RNA of Peromyscus californicus insignis, 7357 nucleotides long. RefSeq lists it as uncharacterized. The record is from RefSeq and is a predicted model, not a curated record. The transcript has 3 exons. Lineage: Eukaryota; Metazoa; Chordata; Mammalia; Rodentia; Cricetidae.
CCUCGCGAGGGCCUGGAUUAUUAUCCACUGGCCCCUCCUGUCUCUUCUAAAAGGCUAUUUAUAGGAAUGCCAAGGAGUGGAGCGAAGACCUCCCCCAGCUCAGCCAAGAGUAGACCCUUCCAAUCACCUAGAAACCACACACAUGGUGAAGCAAUCCUCUAAUGCAGCUCUGCUGGGUAAAGCAAGCUCCGAUCUCACUAGGAACCUUUGUGGGCCUCCACAAGAAAGCGAGGGACAAGAAUGCUCAUCUCUGCUUUCUAAGUGGACCCGAUGCGACCAGCCACCUCACUCCUGCUGCUGUCUUUCCUACCAUGGUGGACUGUCCUCUACCUCCAGCCAACCCUUCCAUGCUGUCUUUCCGCUUGCCACUGUGCCUUCCUGGCCACAGGGAUGUUCCUCUGGAACCCUUCUUCCUGUUUAUCACAGCAACAGGACAGUAACAAGUACACCUGCUGCUUGUCAGCUUCCAUCACCACAGCAAAAUCCCCGGAGCAAUCCACUGCUGACGAGGUUGCAGUUCACCAUUGCGUGGUCCUGCUGCUUGGGGCCUGUGGUGGCACAACACAUCAUGGUGGGUGUACACGGGGAGAGGUUGCUUACCUCAGGGCAGCUGGGGAAGAGAGAGAGGUAAAAUGGGCCAGGGUCCCCUGUCUUCUUCAAGACACACCUCCAGCGCCUAGCUUCCUUCUACCAGGAACCCCUCGUAGCACCACGUGCUAGAGACCAAGACUUGUCUUGGGGGAGGGCCGUCUCUUGACAUGCUAUAAGAAGGCCUCCAUCACGUGCCAGCACCUGUCCAGGACUUAAAGCCUCAAGGACCACGAACGAGUCGAUGUCCGUUCUUACCUUUCCAGGCUUUGCUUUCUCUGCAAGGCCCUGGCUUCUGUUGUAACUCCUCACGUUUACACUCCACACACUCAGACGUUCUUCUGAGAUGGACCGUGGGUUGCUACGCGGCCACAGAGGACGAGGGAGGUAGAAGGAUGUUCUGCUUCCUUUGGUGGACACCAAACACACUUCAGUCUUCUCAUGGGAGCUCUGGUGAGAGACAGAGGGACGGAGGGAGAGAUGGAGGGGGAGAGAGACUGAGCGAGUGAGCUGGCACCAGCGUCAGCUGCUGCAAGGAGCAGCCCCACACCAGAAUGCUUUCCAGGCUGAGUGUCUACAUUUUGCAGCAGGUAGGGUCAGGGAUUCAGUCAGCUUGGGACCUGGGGCUGGAGGGAAGCAAAGCUGUAGACCUUGUUUGCUGUUUUUGGUCAAAGGCCACCCUUCAAACACAGUUCUUUUCACUGGGGCUGAACUUUUGACCUAUGUUUGGUUUCUGAUUUUCAUUUUCUAGGGAGUCCAUGGGAUUAUGUUCAAUGAGGGGAUUAAAUUGCUUUAUUAGAAUCUAUCAAUUAUGGAUAACCAGGGUUUCAGUAUGCCACGUUCAUACAUGUGUAUAUUUUGCUUAUAUGCACUCCCAUUACCUCGUUUUUCUGACACUCCCCUCUUCUCCACCUGUUCCUCUUCUUUCACGUCUUUUUCUUGUUUGUUUUGGUGACCCAGCGAGUGUCAUCAGGUGCAUGCAGGAGCCUAGAUGAGGGCUCAUUACAGGAGCAUGGGCGCUUUAUCAGUGGCUACACUACACUACUGAAGAAAAUUUCUCCCUUCAGUGAUGGGAUAUUUUUAAAUUUUACUUAAAGAAAGUAACUUUGUUCUGAAAUGAUGCAUGUUUUCCCACUAUAGAAAAUAUGGAUUAACUAAAAGAGAAACAUCAACAAGGCUCCCUGUCACUCAAUUGCUCUGCUGAGGGCUUGGAGUCAGAACUUUCCGUUUGUGAAGGGAACCCGUGUGUACUGCCUUGUCACCAUUGAUGAGGGACAUCUUCUCGUGUUCAUUUUUCUACUAUUAUUAGUUCAAUACAACUUGCUCUUUCAUUGUGAUGAAAUUGUAAUGGACGUGAUGUUGACCUCCCACGGAUGUGACACCCAGGCUGGAUCUGUUAGCCCUGAUUUACAGAUCUGAAGCAAAGCAGAGUGGAGACUUUCUGAGCCUGGGUUUUUCUCUGUAAAAUGCAGACUUGACAGUUUUUACUUCUGCGACUGUUCUGCACAGAAAAUCAAAUUAGCUACUUUUGAUAAAAAUGCUAAAAUCUCUCAUUUAUAACAGAAUGUGAGGAGGCAUCAAAUUCAGUUCCACUAGCGAGUAACUGGCCCCCACCACGUCUGUCUGCAUGCCGCCAUGUUUCCUGCCAUGAUGAUAAUGGACUGAACCUCUGAACUGUAAGCCAGCCCCAAUUAAAUGUUUUCCUUUAUAAGAGUUGCCGUGGUCACUGUGUCUCUUCACAGCAAUAGAAACCCUAAAUAAGACACCCUUAUUACCUACCAUCCCUUAUUUUUUCCUCGUGUAUGUGUGUAUACAUAUGUAUGUGUGUGUGCUAUAUAUGUGUACACAUGUUCCUGUGUGUGCACGUGUGUGGAGGCCAGAGGUCAGCAUCAAGUAUCUUUCCUCAAUCACUCGCCGCUUCUUUUUUGAGACCUCGUCUCUCACUGGACCUGGAGCUCACUGAUUUGAGUAGACUGACUGGUCAGGGAGCUCUAAGGGUCCUCUUGUCUCUGUCCCGAGUCCACUCUGGGGUCACAGCUGCAUGUCACAGGUGCAUGCCGCAGGCUGUAGUUGGCGUUUUUACAUGCGUGCCGGGGAUCUGAACCCAGGCACUCAUGCUCGUUCAGCACUUUUCCCACAGAGCAUCUUCCCCAGUGCCUGGCGGUCUCCUUGCCUGUUCGCUCACUGGGACUCUGAUGUCACCACGGCAACCUUCUCUCUUGCCCUUAACCAUCAAACAAAGACCGCUUAGGUAAGGUAACGGUAAGAGGGUUCCAAACCCCUGUUCUGGGCUCAGGGUGAGAAACUGUGAGCACUGAAGGCUUUGGAUCCCUGUGGGAGGGGAACAUCCCUCAGCCGCUGACCUAGCACUGAGUCCUUGUCUGGCCUUUGCUGCUGACCGGCCUCCAGCUUCAUCCUAGCUUGAAUAUUAGCUGAAUGUGUGCAUUGGACAGGCCAGCGAACUCCUUUUAAAAGACUUUAUUCUUUUCAUUGCAAAAUGGAAUAAUAACAACAAAAUGUAUAAAAUUGUCACAAGGACCAGGUACUGCCCCAUGUGAGGGUGCUCAGUGUUCCAGCCUGGCUUGGCUGAGUCAACGAGCCCCAAACGCGGGGCUUAACCAUCAUCCGUACCAUCCACAGUCCUGCAUGCCAGAGUCCAAGGUCCAGGUGAGCAGGGCUGGGCUCUUGAGACCCCUCCUUGCCUACAGGGCUGCCUUCUCCUGGUGGGGUCACCUCUGGUGCCCUCUUCCCAUUUCCUGUAGUCACAUUGGUUAGGGGAUCUCUCCAACCUGUCAGUCCACCUUAACUCCAAACAACGUCACUUUCUGAGGUGCCAGGUUUAAGAUGACCGCGUAUGAUUUUCAGGGACCAUCCAGCCUAUACCAUGCAGUACAGUGUCAGAGUCAGAGGUGAUCAUUGUGGCUCCUGUCGACUGAAUUCCUUCUCUCCUUUGAGACAAGGUCUCGUGAUUUUCAGAUUGGCCUUGUACUUGUUACAUAACCAAGGACAACUUUGAACUCCCGGGCUUUGUGCCUCCAUCCCUCCAGUGAAGGGAUUACAGGUCCGUAUCAUUACUCCUGGCUUAUGUGAUGCUCGAGAUCAAACUUGGGGCCUGUGGGUGCUGGGGUGAGUGCUCUUCCCACUGAUUCACAUCUCCAGGCCCAGUCACUGAGCGUUUUAGUUACUUUUUGUGUUGCUGUAACCAAAUACUUUGGUUACAACUUGAAAACAAUGUAGCAAGACUGCUCCGCUACUGCUCGGCUCGUGAUUCAGUCUGUGGUCACUUGGCUGGGUCUUUGUGAGGCAGGACCCUGGUGGCGGGACUAUGCCGUGAAGAUCACUUAUCUCAUGGUGCACAGGAAGCAGACGGAGGGGAAGAGCCUGAAACCAGGUGUAAAUGUCAAAGCCCACCCUAGUGACCUUCUUCCUGUAUUCAGACCUCCUCAGAUUUGCACCAGCUCCGACCUGGUACUCCCUGCCUGUCUGGCACCAACGCUGGUAUUUGCUUUCUUCUCCAAGGGGAACGCAGGAAGUGGCCUCAUCUCUGUGUUGGUUACUUUUCUCAGUCCCGUGACCAAAGCAGUUUAAGGAGGAAGGAAUUAUUCCCCUUGCAUUUUGCAGGUUCAGUCCAUCAUGGCAGGAAAACCAUGGAUGCUGGAACUGGAGGCUGCUGGCCAUGCUGCACCCACAGUCAGGAAGCUGAGGGAGAGGGGUGCUGGUGCUCAGUUUGGCUUCUCCUUUUCAUUUGUCUAAGACCCGAGCCCAUGGAAUGUUGCUGCCUAAGUUUAGGGGGGGUCUUCUCACCUCAAUUAACUUAACCUGGAAACUGCUCACAGACAUGUCCAGAAGUGCUUCCUGGGUGACCCUAGGUCAUGCCAAGUAGACAGCAUUGACCGUCACACCAGGAUACACAGAUCCAAACACCAUUCAAUUGAGUAUAAAACAUACCCAAGGCAUUCUCAGGUAACCAGACAGAGGACCCAUCAGACUACAGAAAAGCUGGUGACACAGGCCUGGGGCCCAGCAGCCCACCCUGGCCAUUCCGUGUGGACCCAGCCAACCGCUGUUCUCCAGUGUCUCAUAUUCUGGCCGCUGCUCACACUCCUGACUGCACAUCAGGAGUGCAUGGGCAUCUCUUACAAACAUUCCCCGGCAUGGUGCACCACUCAGACAACCACGCCAGAGUUUGCAGGGCCCAGACUAGAAUUUUAUGAGGUAGAUCCUGGAGCACAGCCAGGUUGCUGUCUGCAGAGGUAUGUAUGCAGAAUUUUAGAGUCUUCUCUGCUCCAGCCACCCUGGCUUCCAGACGAACCUCAUCUUUGGAGGCUCCAGGGACCUAGAAUGUUGGGCAUCCCUAGAGUCACUGAGGUGUGGUUUUCUUCAGGCUCACCUCCCAAAGACAGGACCAGGUGGUGCAGGACCCAUAAAUGUGUGGGAGGAUCUGGCACUUGCGGCCCUGGGCUGCCACAUUCUGAGCCAGCAUCAUCCAGUCUCAACCCCUCAUCCACUGCCUCUGCUCUGGUCCUCUUCCUGUCUCUCAUCAAGAUGCUGGCCUUAGAGUCCAUCUGCAUGGGAGUGACAGCUAGUGCUCCUAACCUUAAUCUUUGGUCCAAACAAGUAAUGUUCUAGGGUCCAGGGCAGAUACAUUUUGGGUCACGGACACCAUUUAACUUAUUCUGCCCAGAAAGGCCUUAAAAACUGCACCCAGGUGAGAAUCUGUGGGGUCUGGGUCUGGGUCUGGGUGUGGUGAGCUUGCAAAGUUCUGGGUGUUUCUAAUUCAUGCUCUGCUUGUGACACCAGUGUGUCUGUUGUCUUCCCAUGUCGACACAAGGAAAGCCGAAAAGGCUCACUUCCAUCAGAGGGAGGUGUCCGUGGUCUGUGUUCAACUUCCUAUUCUAGUCUGGUCCUACUGGGUGUGGUGGGUUGUGUGUCUUUUUCAGUAAAUAAAACCUAGGAGGGAGCUGUUUGGGCUUCCCAGUGCUCUGUCUUCAAUGCUGGUGUGUUAUUUUGGGCUUCUCCACACCUGGACAACCGUGAGCUCAACAGGCCCUGCUUGUCACCCCUUGGUAACCCGAGUCUCUGGGGUUCACAGGUCUGGAACAAAAGUCUUCAGUCCUUGAGGUGGUGAUGGUUUUCUCCUGAGGAGUUGUGAAGCCAGUUUUGUGGGGUUAGUUGGCUGGGUUUCCAAUGGAGAGCUUUUGACCCACAAAGGCCUCAUUCAGCGGUCCCCUUCAGUCUUAAUGAGUUGCAGACUUAGACAGCAGCCCCGGGCCAGAGGGCCCCUCUCUGGUUUCCACUCUGCUGCAGGCUGGACCCCUUGCAGUGGCUCCUCUUGGCGGAGAUUCCCGGUGACAGAUCCACCUUUGUGACCCUGGCUCGGGCUCCUUUGCUGUUGAACAGAAUUUGAAAAAAAAUGUGAGCUUCAGGUGGGUGUCCCCUUGGAACUGAGUUCCUUUGGCCACAUUUUGGGCUCUGGUUUACUUUUGGGGCAAAGGGGUAGAUGGGGACCAGACUGAAGCCCUUCACAGGAUUGUCAAUUCAAUUCUUUAUUUGCAUUUCUGGAAAAAUAUUAAAGUAACCCUUUUCAUUUCUCCCUUUUAAACUUUUUUUUUGAGCUGGGCACAGUGGUGUACACCUUUAAUCUCAGCAUUUGGGAGGCAGAGGCAGGCAGAUCCCAGUUCAAGGCCAACCUGGUCUAUAGUGUGAGUUUCAGGACAGCCAGGGGUACACAGAGGAACCCUAUCUUGAAAAAUCAAUCAAUCAAACAAAAACAAAACAAACAAACAAAAACCAACUUUUCUUUUUUUUUGAGAAAGGUAUGCUAUGUUGCCCAGGUUGGCUGUGAACUUUCUUAGUUUGCCUCCCAGGGGCUGAGGCUGCAGACAAGAGUCUCUUUUCUCUUUUCCUUCUCUCUUGUUGCUUUCUUUUCCAGAACUGCUUUGCAAGGGGUCCCUCUGGCCACAGCUGAGACUCCCUCUUCUUCUCCUUGACUCUUCAGCCCGCAGGCAGUGUCUGUCCUCCUGAAAGAAGGGAAAGGGAAGAUCUGGGUGUGCUGAGGCAGAUUCUCCUGACCUGAGCCCGAUGAAUCGUGCCUGAGGCCCCUGCAGAGUGGGUUUGGAGAACUUCCCUGGGGACAGGGCAGUCGUGAAACUUGGCUUCCAGGGGGACUCCACUGCUUCCUGUGUUUGCAAAGGACCUACAGCUCACUCUAAGUGCUGGACCAGUGAGUGACUAACCCUCCCAAGAGCUUCUUCUCAAACACGUGGCAACAUGAAGUCUGGACUUCUGUGAUUGUCCCAUCUCACUGCCAUCCAGUUCACACUGAGUACCUCCUCUGUGGAAACUCUUCUGUAGAGGAAUCUGAGGGAGUGGAAGAAGUCCAGCAGUGGGCAGCUGGGGAGGCAGGCUAGUCAGUAAACUACGUGCCCUGCGAGCAUGAACGACUGGGUUCGGUCCUUAGAAUCCAUGUAAAAUAUCCAGGUGUGGUGACAUUUGCUCGCAAUCCCAGUCUUGGGGAGGCAGAGAAAGGAGGAUCCCUCCUGGGUCUGUUUAGUUAGAUAGGUAAGGUCUAUGUCUCAGUGAGAGACCCUGUCUCAAAGAAAGCAAAAUGGAUGGGGAUGAAGGAUUGGCAUCAGAGCUUGACCUGUCACCUUCACACUCACAUGUGUGCAUGCACACACUCAUGCAUGCACACACACACAUAUGCAAGUACACACUCAUGCAUACACACACACACACACACACACACACACACACACACACACACGCG